UACGGGGGGUCCUAGCGUUGUUCGGAAUCACUGGGCGUAAAGCGUUUGUAGGUGGCUUUGUAAGUUAAAUGUGAAAGCCUGGGGCUUAACCUCAGAAGUGCAUUUAAUACUGCAGAGCUUGAGUAUGAGAGAGGAAGGUGGAAUACCUGGUGUAGUGGUGAAAUACGUAGAUAUCAGGUGGAACAUCGGCGGCGAAAGCGGCCUUCUGGCUUAAUACUGACACUGAAAAACGAAAGCGUGGGGAUCAAACAGG
Molecule: ribosomal RNA, 253 nt
Filed under: uncultured bacterium
Lineage: Bacteria
Description: partial 16S ribosomal RNA
Rfam family: Bacterial small subunit ribosomal RNA
Source: RNAcentral